UUAUCAGCCAUUGCAACACGAAUGCAGGAAUAUUAUUUUCUUGGUGAAGGUAUCGCUUUACGAAUCGUGUAAUUUCUUUGGAAAAAUUUAUUUCUUAGUUUUUGGAAACUUAAUUGUUGUACAAGGAUUUUUAUUUGAAGACAAAUUGUGAAAAAUGUAUUUACGAAUUACAAAUUUUUCGAGCUUGCUUUCGUCCUUCAUCCUCGAAUUCUGUUCGAUUUUCUGUGCAACAGGAAAAUAUUAACACGUUCGGGUAAAACGAGAUCAAGGUGAGAAUAAAAAAUAAGAGCAAUAUUAAAAAUCUCCAAUAUCAAGACACGUAAAUCGAAGCAACUUCCUUGCGCUACUGUUUACCCUGUCUCUCUCUCUCUCUCUCUCUUUCUCUUUCUCUUUCUCUCUCCCGCAAGUGAGAGAAAAGGGAAAAUGAGAACGCUGCAUAAUCUUGUGCUACAUUUUGUGGUUUAAAGUUACCAAAAAUAUCCCGUAUCCGGACACUCCAGCAGGCUGUAAAGUGUAAAGCCCCGUCUCCACGUGGGUGGUCGGAUCUCCCUAGGACUCACAAUCCUUUGCUGCUUUCCUAGAAAUUCGAGAUUUCCAAAGGGAGCAAAGAAAAAAGAAAAAGUUGUGAAGCUGAAGGGAAGAGGAAAAAAAAUUAGUAGAGCG
This 663-nucleotide unclassified non-coding RNA is filed under the name Bombus terrestris (buff-tailed bumblebee). RNAcentral's name for it is "misc RNA ENSBTSG00005024988.1". The record is from RNAcentral. Lineage: Eukaryota; Metazoa; Arthropoda; Insecta; Hymenoptera; Apidae.